AGGUUACUCGGCAUGCUCGGCGUGUUUACUUCGGUGGACUUCCUCCGAUCGCUAAUGAACAGACGGUUGCUCUAUUCUUCAAUCAAGUUGUGGCUGCUAUCAGGGGAAACACAUUUGGUCUAGGUGGCAUAAUCAUCUGAAUCCAAACAUAUGG
This is a long non-coding RNA of Triticum dicoccoides, 154 nucleotides long. RefSeq lists it as uncharacterized. The record is from RefSeq and is a predicted model, not a curated record. NCBI's taxonomy places the organism in Eukaryota, Viridiplantae, Streptophyta, Magnoliopsida, Poales, Poaceae. The transcript is spliced from 3 exons.